This 70-nucleotide transfer RNA is filed under the name Malapterurus electricus (electric catfish). RNAcentral's name for it is "tRNA-His". It matches the Rfam family "tRNA". From Rfam's summary of the family: Transfer RNA (tRNA) molecules are approximately 80 nucleotides in length. The record is from RNAcentral. Lineage: Eukaryota; Metazoa; Chordata; Actinopteri; Siluriformes; Malapteruridae.
GUAGAUAUAGUUUUAAACAAAACAUUAGAUUGUGAUUCUAAAAAUAGAGGUUCAACCCCUCUUAUCCACC